Molecule: ribosomal RNA, 483 nt
Filed under: uncultured bacterium
Lineage: Bacteria
Description: partial 16S ribosomal RNA
Rfam family: Bacterial small subunit ribosomal RNA
Source: RNAcentral
AUUGAACGCUGGCGGAAUGCUUUACACAUGCAAGUCGAACGGCAGCACGGGGGCAGCCCUGGUGGCGAGUGGCGAACGGGUGAGUAAUACAUCGGAACGUGCCCGGUCGUGGGGGAUAACGUAGCGAAAGUUACGCUAAUACCGCAUACGAUCUGAGGAUGAAAGCGGGGGACCUUCGGGCCUCGCGCGAUCGGAGCGGCCGAUGUCAGAUUAGGUAGUUUGUGGGGUAAAGGCCUACCAAGCCGACGAUCUGUAGCUGGUCUGAGAGGACGACCAGCCACACUGGGACUGAGACACGGCCCAGACUCCUACGGGAGGCAGCAGUGGGGAAUUUUGGACAAUGGGCGCAAGCCUGAUCCAGCCAUUCCGCGUGCAGGACGAAGGCCUUCGGGUUGUAAACUGCUUUUGUACGGAACGAAAAGGCUCUGGCUAAUACCUGGGGCUCAUGACGGUACCGUAAGAAUAAGCACCGGCUAACUACGU